Oncorhynchus gorbuscha (pink salmon) is the source of this 5508-nucleotide long non-coding RNA. RefSeq lists it as uncharacterized. NCBI's taxonomy places the organism in Eukaryota, Metazoa, Chordata, Actinopteri, Salmoniformes, Salmonidae. The record is from RefSeq and is a predicted model, not a curated record. The transcript has 5 exons.
CUAGCAAGUAGAUAUUACAGCCUUUCUAGUUUCUCGUGUAAAUAAUUGAUAUUUUGUAUUUCUUGUGUGUAUUCUUGUUUAGCAUUUUUCAAAUGACCUAGCUAGCUAUCGUAGCAUUUUUCAUUACUCUCAUUUUUUAAAUUACCCUGGCCUUUUUAGCUAAUUAGCUAACCUUAGGUCUCCGUCGAUCAGAAGCAAGGAUGGUUCUGUGCUCUACACUGGAUUGUAACCAGUAACGUUACUUUGAUAAGCACACGUGUAUUUGAUCGUUUUCCGUCCUCUGAGUGAGAGGCUUCGCUGGAGUUGUGUGAUAAGUCCAAAAGGAGUGCAUCCCUUGUGCUAUCUGGCGCAUGGACAUCCUUUGCCAGUGUGAUCCGAGUGCAAGUGUCAAGUUGUAGAGACUACAACAGAUCGAGCCUGUGGACGGACAGACAUGUGGAGUGACAUGCGAAACACCAGGCUCACCCCAAGAGAAGCAGUGCAUAAUCAACACCAUCCUCAGCAAGGAGAUAUGCUGGAAAUUAGUUACUCUCUCUAACUCUGGGGUUGCUGACAAGCGGAGCAAUAGGAGUCUGUCAGACGUUGUCAUGCUGGAUGGGAAUGGUGAUGGAGGCUUUGGUGGUUCACACAACGAAGAAGCAGAUAUCCCUUCCAAUGAUGUGGAGUUGACGUUGGACCUUGUUGCCAGGAAGGAUUGUCUUCACAGAGGCAGUAAAACCCUCCUUCCAUAUAGGAAUCCUUCAACUUCACUGUCUCUUCAAUAACACCCAUCCAACGACUGUGAUCUGAGGACCCUUUUUUAGCAGUGAUGGAGUUACACGCUUGGCCCUAACCACUGCUCCAUAAUUUAUGGCUGUCAACCUCCAUCUUCUCAUGGUGUGUCAGUUGGGGUUGGUGCAAUGUCGAACUAUUGCCUGCCAUAUAGCUUUCGGCUGCUCCACCAACAGCGCCAUGCCAACCAGGAUGCCGGUUUGCCCGAGGUGCCUUUUUUAAAUUUUAUUUUAUUUUUUACAAUUUCCAGUACAGACAGGAAUGACAGGGAGGGUAGCAGUUGUUCUGGCUCAGGUUCAGGGAGACAUGCCAUUCCACUGAACCUUCCCCAGAGAUGGUUCCUUAGCUACUGAAGAUCCUCCUCUGUGGGCUCCCAGGACAGAGGGUUGUUGUCUUCAGCCAGGUACAGGUCCUCCACUGACUGCACCUUUUUGGUCACGGCUGGCUUCCUCCAUUAGCAUUCCACAUCCGUACGGCUGAAAUUGUGACCCACCAAAAUAGGCUGCAUGGCUACCUGUAUGAGCUCCACGGAGGCAUAGAGGGAAUCACCUGGUCACCUACAGAGACCUGCCAAGAUGGAAGAUGUUAAGUGCCACAUGCCUUUCAAUACAUUAAUUUGAACACCUUGAAAUACAUUUGUUGUAAAAAAUGUGCUGUAUAAAUAAAGUUUGAUUUGAAUGAUGACAUAUUCUGGUUAAUGAUAAUUGAUUAAGUGUAUCUUUCUUUGUAGAAUGUUGACAGCUGUAUAGAACACAUUGUAUUGCUAAGAUUCUCAAACUUAACUUGAUAGCUACACUCCGAUACAGGAUAAACUUUAUCUCUCAUAUUGGCCCUGACCAAACCAAUAAGUUGCCCCUCACUAGAGCUGUACUUCUACACAUGGUAUCAAGGUAUCAACUGUCCCAGAUGCAGACAGUUGUGAAGUAACAAAAGUUUAUAACAAAAACGGGGGCAGGCAAACGACAGGUCAAUGGCAGGCAGUGGUCAACAAUCCAGAUCAGAGUCCGAAACAGGAGACAAAGGGCUGUGAGACAUAGUUUUAAUCCUAGACACAUGAAAAGUGGGAUUUAUACGGAGGGUACGGGGCAACAUAAGAUGAACAGCAGAAGGGGCUAAUCAUUGUGAGGAUGGGGAAAGGGCCAGUACAAUGGGGGGAAAGUUUGCAGGACUCCACCCGGAGGGGCAGAUCUCAAGUAGACAGCCAUACCCUCUUCCCGAGACGACACCGGGGAGCCGGAGUCCGGUGUCAGUCCGCUUGUCGCCUAUACCUGGAGGUAGUCUUGAGAAGAGCCGACUGGGCUCUCUUUUUGGUACGGCGACAGUGGCAGACAAACAUCUGGCCCGAUGGUAUGCCGGCCUCUUCCUCUUGCUCCGGGAAGAGCAGGGGAGGGUGUUGCCCUCGAAAGGCGAGAGUCCGGUGGCAGAGCAGGGGAGGGUGUAGCGGGCUUAUUCAACACACACGAGUUGCUGGCUCCAGGUGGUGGGUUUGGCGGAGACAAGGCAGCGAAGAGUGGUCUCAAGGUCUUGAUUGGCUUGCUCUGACUGGCCGUUGGACUGAGGGUGGAACCUGGAGGACAGGCUGGCCGACGACCCAAUGAGUGUGCAGAACACCUUCCAGAACCGGGACUAGAACUGAGGAACCCGGUCGGAGACCAUGUCCACCGGGAGUCCAUGGAUCCGGAAGACGUGCUGCACCAUGAGCUGGGCCGUCUCUUUGGCAGAGGGUAGCUUGGGGAGAGGAAUGAAAUGGGAGGCUUUGGAAAACAGGUCCUCUACUGUCAGGAUUGCAGUGUUGCCAUCAGACGGUGGGAGACCUGUGGAGAAGUUCAGGGAUAUGUGAGACCAGAGACGGUGAGGGACAGGCAAUGGUUGAAUGAGACCAGCUGGAGCUUGCCAAGGAGUCUUGUUCUGCGCACAGAUCGUGCAGGCAGCGAUGAAUGCGGAGAUGUCCGGAACCAUGGUAGGUCACCAAAAGCGUUGCCGCACAAAGGCCAGGGUCUGAUGGGAGCCCGGGUGGCAGUCUAGCUUGGAGGAUAGGUUCCACUCCAGGAGCGAGGGGUGGACAUCAUCAGGGUCAAACAUCUGGUUAUCUGGGCCCCCCGGGGUUUUGCUGGGAACAUUGCACCUCAUGGAGCUGCUUCUCUAUUCACGAGCUGAUUAACGUCGCCAGGCACGAGGAGGGAAGGAUGGUCUCGGGGUCCGAGGGUGUAGCCGCGGGGCUAUAGUGGCAUGGCAGCGCAUCCGGCUUGAUAUUCUUGGAUCCCUGUUGGUAGGAGAGGGAGAAGUUAAUCCAGGUGAAAAGCAGGGCCCACCUAGCUUGCCUGGAAUUGAGACGCUUGGCGGUGUGGAGAUAGUCCAGGUUCUUGUGAUCAGUCCACACAAUGAACGGAUGUUCCGCCCCCUCCAACCAGUGUUUCCACCCCUACAACGCCAUCUUCACUGCGAGAAACUCACGAUUUCCCACAUCGUAAUUCCUCUCUGUGGCGUUGAGGUGAUGGGAGAAGAAGGCGCAGGGGUGUAACUUGAGGUCCAGGGCAGAACACUGGGACAGGACAGCCUCACUCCGACAUCCGAAGCAUCGGCCUCCACCACGAACUGACGGGACGGGUCAGGAGGAACCAAUAUGGGAGCUGUGGUGAAGCAGUGCUUGAGGUCCCGUAAUGCCCGGUCAGCAGCUGGGGACCACAUGAACGGAACCUUGGGCGAGGUGAGUGCCUACAGCGGGGAAGCCAGGGUGCUGUAGCCCCGGAUAAAGUGGCUAUAAAAGUUGGCAAAAUUCUAGGAGACGUUACACACUGCACUCUGGACGUAGGCUGGUGCCAAUCCACUGCCGGUCUCACCUUCCCGGGAUCAAUCUGUUAAUUUCCUGCAGCGAUGAUGUAACAAAAGAAGGGGAUGGAAUUCACAUUUCUCCGCUUUCACAAAAAGCUGGUUCUCCAGGAGGCGCUGGAAGACCUGUCGGACGUGGAGCACGUGUUCUUGGGUUGAGUAUGAGAACAUGAGGAUGUCGUCGAGGUAGACGAAGACGAACCGGUUCAACAUGUCGUGGAGAACAUCCUUAACCAGGGCCUGGAACACAGCUGGAGCAUUGGUAAGGUCGAAUGGCAUGACCAGAUGUUCGUAGUGACUGCUGGCUAUAUUGAAGGCAUGCUUCCACUUGUCCCUUCCCUGAAUCCGCACCAGAAGGCCGAGGUGACGAGUGGUAGCGGUUAUUCACUGUGAUGUCAUUGAGGCCCCGGUAGUCGAUGCACGGGUACAGGGUUUUGUCCUACUUCUCCACAAAGUAGAACCCUGUGCCAGCGGGGGAGGCAGAAGGACAGAUACACCCUGCAGCUACGGAGUCCUCAAUGUAGUUCUCCAUGGCCUUGGUCUCCGGACCCAACAGAGAGUACAGUCAUCCCUGGGGCGGGGUGGUGCCAGGGAGAAGGUCGAUCCCACGGUCAUAGGGUCCAUGCGGAGGAAGUGAAGUGGCCCGGGCCUUACUGAAAACCUCCUGUAUAUCCUGGUAUCCCACGGGAAUGGCAGAGAGGUCCAGGGUAACUACCGAGUCCACAGGAAGACUUCCCAGGGCAGGCUGCGCUGACUUCAAGCAAUGGGUGUGGCAGAACAGGCUCCAGCCCAUGAUGGCUCCAGCAGUCCAGUUAAUGAGGGGAUUCUGUCGCUGGAGCCAAGAUGAUCCCAAUACCACAGGAACCUGAAGAGACUUAAUUAGAAUGAAUUGGACUGCCUCGCUCUGUUUCCCUGACACUCGUAGGUUGAUGGGAGUGGUAUUGUGGGUGACCAGGCCUAUAGAGCGCCUGUCCAGUGCUCUAAGAUGCAUGGGAAUGGAGAGGGGCUCAGUGGGGAUGCCCUCCUCCUUCCUACAUUACCGUAGCCUCCCAUCGAUCCGGAUGGUCAAGGCAAUGAGCGAGUAGAUAUCCGUCGGUAGUUCUCGGGCUGCUAGCUCGUCCUUAACUUCCUCCGAUAAUCUGUGCAGGAACGUGUCGAACAGCGAUUCCAGGUUCCAGGCACUGUAAGUUGCCAGAGUCCAGAAAUCCCCCGCAUAGUCUGCCACACUGAGGGAGUCUUGCCAAAGCUGCAGUAACUUCCGGGCAGCCUCUCUCCCAGACAAUGGAGAAUCUAAAACCUUCUUCACCUCCACCACAAACUCCUCCAGACUGAAGCAUUUGGCCGACUGUUGUUCCCAAAUGGCCAUAGCCCAGGCGAGAGCCCUCCCGGACAUAAUCCUGAUAAGGUACAUUGUCUUCGAGCGAUCCGAGGGGAAGGAGGAGGGCUGCAGUUCGAUGAUGAGAGAAACGCCGGACAGGUUCCGACUCUCCAGCGAAGCAUUCUGGGGGAGGUAAGCAGAGGUUUUGGGAAACCGGGGGUGGCCGGGGCGGCCGUGCUGCUAACAGCCGGGUUACUGAGGGGCUGGGAGGUUAUCAUCGUGGUAGGCGGCCAGAGAGACAACCUGCGGAAUUCCUCCAGCAAUGUGUUCAACAUGCGGUCAUGGCGUUCAGCCAAGGUUUGGAACCCUUCCAUAAGACCACGAAGCAACUCCUCAUGCCUUCCAAUGGUGGCUCCUUGGGAGGAGAGGGCAUUGCGGAGCUGGUCCGAGUCUGCUGUCCGUCAUGGCCAGACCCAGAUGCAGACAAUUUCGAAGUAAGAAAAGUUUAUUACAAAAACAGUGGGGCAGGCAAACAACAGGCCAAGGGCAGGCAGAGGUCAGCAAUCCAGAGCAGAGUCCGAAAGGUACAA